Molecule: long non-coding RNA, 487 nt
Organism: Aethalodelphis obliquidens (Pacific white-sided dolphin)
Lineage: Eukaryota; Metazoa; Chordata; Mammalia; Artiodactyla; Delphinidae
Exons: 3
Source: RefSeq, a predicted model, not a curated record
UUGCUGUCGCACCAGUCACAUCACGGGCAUCCACAGUCAGCAUCUUCCAUGUGACUCCAAAUCCUGUGCUCACUUGACCUGCUGGGGUCCCAAAUAUCUACAAAGAAAGAGUUUAGAAGAUGGACCUGUCCUUUUCGUUCUAUUUUAUGGAGCUGCACUUGGGAGUUGUGUCUUCCAGUGGCGAGGGGAACCACACAAACAAUCCCCAGGGCCUUUGCCAUCGCUAUCCGGGGCCGCCCCUCCUGAACCACACCCACGUGCCGUGCUCCGGUGCCUUCUCGCCGGGACCACCUGCCAUGCGCCCGGCAGCCAGUGAUAGGUUCUGUGAUGGAGCCCCCAGCUGUGACAGUGAGGCCAACGCUAGGUCCGGAAAAUGGAGAGCUCCCCUGAAGAGCAGCCAGACCCUGACCCAGGGGCGAGGAGAAACGGGACACACUAGGGACGGGUUCACCUGAUGACACAAUUGUGCCUUUGGAAGUUUGUGGUG